UGGCUGAGUGGUUAAAGCGCUCAGCUGCUAACUGAAGGUUGGUGGUUCGAACUCACC
Molecule: transfer RNA, 57 nt
Filed under: Loxodonta africana (African savanna elephant)
Lineage: Eukaryota; Metazoa; Chordata; Mammalia; Proboscidea; Elephantidae
Rfam family: tRNA
About the family: Transfer RNA (tRNA) molecules are approximately 80 nucleotides in length. Their secondary structure includes four short double-helical elements and three loops (D, anti-codon, and T loops).
Source: Rfam by way of RNAcentral